RNAcentral lists this ribosomal RNA (654 nucleotides) under Escherichia coli. RNAcentral describes it as "partial 23S ribosomal RNA". It matches the Rfam family "Bacterial large subunit ribosomal RNA", at positions 532 to 1187 of the family's 2925-position model. Lineage: Bacteria; Pseudomonadati; Pseudomonadota; Gammaproteobacteria; Enterobacterales; Enterobacteriaceae. The record is from RNAcentral.
AGGGGAGUGAAAAAGAACCUGAAACCGUGUACGUACAAGCAGUGGGAGCACGCUUAGGCGUGUGACUGCGUACCUUUUGUAUAAUGGGUCAGCGACUUAUAUUCUGUAGCAAGGUUAACCGAAUAGGGGAGCCGAAGGGAAACCGAGUCUUAACUGGGCGUUAAGUUGCAGGGUAUAGACCCGAAACCCGGUGAUCUAGCCAUGGGCAGGUUGAAGGUUGGGUAACACUAACUGGAGGACCGAACCGACUAAUGUUGAAAAAUUAGCGGAUGACUUGUGGCUGGGGGUGAAAGGCCAAUCAAACCGGGAGAUAGCUGGUUCUCCCCGAAAGCUAUUUAGGUAGCGCCUCGUGAAUUCAUCUCCGGGGGUAGAGCACUGUUUCGGCAAGGGGGUCAUCCCGACUUACCAACCCGAUGCAAACUGCGAAUACCGGAGAAUGUUAUCACGGGAGACACACGGCGGGUGCUAACGUCCGUCGUGAAGAGGGAAACAACCCAGACCGCCAGCUAAGGUCCCAAAGUCAUGGUUAAGUGGGAAACGAUGUGGGAAGGCCCAGACAGCCAGGAUGUUGGCUUAGAAGCAGCCAUCAUUUAAAGAAAGCGUAAUAGCUCACUGGUCGAGUCGGCCUGCGCGGAAGAUGUAACGGGGCUAAAC